RNAcentral lists this transfer RNA (83 nucleotides) under Wenzhouxiangella marina. It matches the Rfam family "tRNA". Rfam says of the family: Transfer RNA (tRNA) molecules are approximately 80 nucleotides in length. The record is from Rfam by way of RNAcentral. Lineage: Bacteria; Pseudomonadati; Pseudomonadota; Gammaproteobacteria; Chromatiales; Wenzhouxiangellaceae.
GCCGAGGUGGCGGAAUUGGUAGACGCGCCAGGUUUAGGUCCUGGUGUCUUUAUGGCGUGGAGGUUCGAGUCCUCUCCUCGGCA